RNAcentral lists this ribosomal RNA (482 nucleotides) under uncultured bacterium. RNAcentral's name for it is "bacterial SSU rRNA". It matches the Rfam family "Bacterial small subunit ribosomal RNA", at positions 30 to 506 of the family's 1533-position model. The record is from RNAcentral.
UUGAACGCUGGCGGCAUGCUUUACACAUGCAAGUCGAACGGUAGCACGGGGGCAACCCUGGUGGCGAGUGGCGAACGGGUGAGUAAUAUAUCGGAACAUAUCCGGAAGUGGGGGAUAACGUACCGAAAGGUACGCUAAUACCGCAUAUGCCCUGAGGGGGAAAGGGGGGGAUCGCAAGACCUCUCGCUUUCGGAGUGGCCGAUAUCGGAUUAGCUAGUUGGUGAGGUAAAGGCUCACCAAGGCGACGAUCCGUAGCUGGUCUGAGAGGACGACCAGCCAAACUGGAACGGAGACACGGUCCAGACUGCUAAGGGAGGCAGCAGUGGGGAAUUUUGGACAAUGGGCGAAAGCCUGAUCCAGCCAUGCCGCGUGAGUGAAGAAGGCCUUCGGGUUGUAAAGCUCUUUCAGCCGGAAAGAAAUUGCUUCUAUGAAUACUAGGAGUAGAUGACGGUACCGGAAGAAGAAGCACCGGCUAACUACGU